UUGGAGGGCAAGUCUGGUGCCAGCAGCCGCGGUAAUUCCAGCUCCAAUAGCGUAUAUUAAAGUUGUUGCAGUUAAAAAGCUCGUAGUUGAAUUUCGGGGUCAGUAGGUCGGUCGUGCCACUGGUAUGAACUGGUUUUACUGAUUCCUCCCUCUUGAAGAACUGUAAUGCCAUUAAUUUGGUGUUGCAGGGAAUCAGGACUGUUACUUUGAAAAAAUUAGAGUGUUUAAAGCAGGCUUUAGCUUGAAUACAUUAGCAUGGAAUAAUGAAAUAGGACGUUUGAUCCUAUUUUGUUGGUUUCUAGGAUUGACGUAAUGAUUAAUAGGGAUAGUUGGGGGCAUUAGUAUUCAAUUGUCAGAGGUGAAAUUCUUGGAUUCAUUGAAGACUAACUACUGCGAAAGCAUUUGCCAAGGAUGUUUUCAUUAAUCAAGAACGAAAGUUAGGGGAUCGAAGACGAUCAGAUACCGUCGUAGUCUUAACCAUAAAUUAUGCCGACUAGGGAUCGGACGAUGUUAAUUUUUUAAUGACUCGUUCGGCGCCUUACGGGAAAC
RNAcentral lists this ribosomal RNA (549 nucleotides) under uncultured Rhizophagus. RNAcentral's name for it is "SSU rRNA". It matches the Rfam family "Eukaryotic small subunit ribosomal RNA", at positions 548 to 1098 of the family's 1831-position model. The record is from RNAcentral. Lineage: Eukaryota; Fungi; Glomeromycota; Glomeromycetes; Glomerales; Glomeraceae.